Molecule: ribosomal RNA, 303 nt
Filed under: uncultured bacterium
Lineage: Bacteria
Description: partial 16S ribosomal RNA
Rfam family: Bacterial small subunit ribosomal RNA
Source: RNAcentral
AGCAGUAGCCACGGUAAUACGGAGGGAGCUAGCGUUGUUCGGAAUUACUGGGCGUAAAGCGCACGUAGGCGGUUAUUCAAGUCAGAGGUGAAAGCCCGGGGCUCAACCCCGGAACUGCCUUUGAAACUAGAUGACUGGAAUCUUGGAGAGGUCAGUGGAAUUCCGAGUGUAGAGGUGAAAUUCGUAGAUAUUCGGAAGAACACCAGUGGCGAAGGCGACUGACUGGACAAGUAUUGACGCUGAGGUGCGAAAGCGUGGGGAGCAAACAGGAUUAGAUACCCCCGUAGUCCCUGUCUCUUAUAC